UAGGACUGCGUAGAUAGUAUCAGGGCUGU
RNAcentral lists this non-coding RNA (29 nucleotides) under Mus musculus (house mouse). The record is from RNAcentral. Lineage: Eukaryota; Metazoa; Chordata; Mammalia; Rodentia; Muridae.